This 254-nucleotide ribosomal RNA is filed under the name uncultured bacterium. RNAcentral describes it as "partial 16S ribosomal RNA". It matches the Rfam family "Bacterial small subunit ribosomal RNA", at positions 524 to 776 of the family's 1533-position model. The record is from RNAcentral.
GACGAACCGAGCGAACGUUGUUCGGAAUCACUGGGCGUAAAGGGCGCGUAGGCGGCCACCGCAAGUCGAUUGUGAAAUCUCCGGGCUUAACCCGGAAAGGUCAACCGAUACUGCGGGGCUAGAGUGCAGAAGGGGCAACUGGAAUUCUCGGUGUAGCGGUGAAAUGCGUAGAUAUCGAGAGGAACACCUGCGGCGAAGGCGGGUUGCUGGGCUGACACUGACGCUGAAGUGCGAAAGCUAGGGGAGCGAACGGG